UACGUAGGUGGCAAGCGUUAUCCGGAAUUAUUGGGCGUAAAGAGCGCGCAGGUGGUUAAUUAAGUCUGAUGUGAAAGCCCACGGCUUAACCGUGGAGGGUCAUUGGAAACUGGUUGACUUGAGUGCAGAAGAGGGAAGUGGAAUUCCAUGUGUAGCGGUGAAAUGCGUAGAGAUAUGGAGGAACACCAGUGGCGAGGGCGGCUUCCUGGUCUGUAACUGACACUGAGGCGCGAAAGCGUGGGGAGCAAACAGG
RNAcentral lists this ribosomal RNA (253 nucleotides) under uncultured bacterium. RNAcentral's name for it is "partial 16S ribosomal RNA". It matches the Rfam family "Bacterial small subunit ribosomal RNA", at positions 524 to 776 of the family's 1533-position model. The record is from RNAcentral.